This 459-nucleotide long non-coding RNA is filed under the name Cricetulus griseus (Chinese hamster). Its description in RNAcentral is "lncRNA (ENSCGRG00015037023.1)". The record is from RNAcentral. Lineage: Eukaryota; Metazoa; Chordata; Mammalia; Rodentia; Cricetidae.
GGCAAGUGCUUUUACUCACUGAGCCAUCUUGCUGGCUCACUCCAUACAUACUGUUGAGUGAACCAGAGACUCAUAGGCAAGGAUACACAUGGAGUUGUGUACAAAUUGCCUUGGAAUCUCAAGGCAACUGGGCUGGUAGACAGGGAUUGGGUGGUCAAUUAAAUGAUAUGAUUGUCUUGCCCAGGCAUGUGUACAGCCACAGAGAUGUGACAUUUCAUCAGUUCCCUAUAGAAAUGAUCCCACUGAGAUGGCCAGGGACAUCUUUUAUACACCUGGGAAGGGCUUCCCUCUGGCAGGUGGCUCUCUUGGCAGGAUACUUGUUCCAAGGCCUCAGAGGUGCAAACUACACAGAUCUACUGAAGGACCAGAGGCUGGGGCCUCCACCCUCAAACAGCUCUGAUCUCCCAGCUCUGCAACACUGAGGGAGGGACACCAUCCUUCUCUCAGGCAGUUCUGUUG